RNAcentral lists this transfer RNA (361 nucleotides) under uncultured Microcystis sp. Its description in RNAcentral is "partial 16S-23S ribosomal RNA intergenic spacer". The stretch from base 136 to 209 matches the Rfam family "tRNA". The record is from RNAcentral. Lineage: Bacteria; Bacillati; Cyanobacteriota; Cyanophyceae; Chroococcales; Microcystaceae.
AAAGGGAGACCUAAUUCGGGUAGGAGACGAAAAAAAAGUAGUCCCUACCAAGAAUCAAUCCCAAAAGGUCGGAGCGAGGCGAAAUUGGCUUUCAAACUAGGUUCUGGGUUCACACAAGACCUGAAUCAGGAACAAGGGCUAUUAGCUCAGGUGGUUAGAGCGCACCCCUGAUAAGGGUGAGGUCCCUGGUUCGAGUCCAGGAUGGCCCACCUGCACAGGUGGCAAAAACAAGAGAAGCGAGGAAUCAGCACCUUAUCUUACUUAUAUAGUAAGAGAGAAUGCUGGCUCUGAGUACAGAGUCCAGAGGAACCUUGAAAACUGCAUAGAGCUAGGUGAAAAAGCCAAAAAAGGAGACCGUCAG